This 584-nucleotide ribosomal RNA is filed under the name Thermococcales archaeon T30a-24. RNAcentral describes it as "partial 16S ribosomal RNA". The stretch from base 336 to 584 matches the Rfam family "Archaeal large subunit ribosomal RNA", at positions 1 to 240 of the family's 2987-position model. The record is from RNAcentral. Lineage: Archaea; Methanobacteriati; Methanobacteriota; Thermococci; Thermococcales. RNAcentral also lists the same sequence under 1 other name.
GGUCGAGCCUGGGCUCCGUGAGGGGGGAGAAGUCGUAACAAGGUAGCCGUAGGGGAACCUACGGCUCGAUCGCCUCCUAUCGCCGGAAACCCCGUCCGGGGGAACUAAAGGGGUGCCGGGCCUGCCUUUUUCUGUGGGCCGGUAGCUCAGCCUGGAAGAGCGCCGCCCUUGCAAGGCGGAGGCCCCGGGUUCAAAUCCCGGCCGGUCCACCACGAAGAGUGAUGCACGUCCCGAGCAGGGCUCGGGGCGGAAGGGCCCUAGGCCCCCUAAUAGGGGGUCGCGAUGAGGGCCACGCAUAGGCGGGUGGCCCAAGAAGUGCCUGGCCCCUCCGGUAGGGGGGCUGGACGCCAAGCCGCCCGGUGGAUGGCUCGGCUCGGGGCGCCGACGAAGGGCGAGGCAAGCUACGAUAAGCCCCGGCGAGGCGCAGGCAGCCGUCGAACCGGGGAUUCCCGAAUGGGACCUCCCGCGGCUUAUGCCGCACUCCGGGGCUUAUGCCCCGGAGGGGGAACGCGGGGAAUUGAAACAUCUUAGUACCCGCAGGAAAAGAAAGCAAAAGCGAUGCCGUGAGUAGGGGCGACCGAAAG